This 763-nucleotide unclassified non-coding RNA is filed under the name Zea mays. RNAcentral's name for it is "misc RNA Zm00001eb134150". The record is from RNAcentral. Lineage: Eukaryota; Viridiplantae; Streptophyta; Magnoliopsida; Poales; Poaceae.
CUGGGCAAGAGCGCGAGGUGGCAGGCCAUAGUGCACCUGGGCAAGAGCGCGAGGUGGCAGGCCAUAGUGCACCUGGGCAAGAGCGCGAGGUGGCAUGCCACAAUGCACUUGAGCCGGAGCGUGAGGCGAUAGGCUCAAGUGGACCUAUGCUAGAGCAGGACCACAAUGCAUUUGAGCAAGCGAGCGAGGCGGCAGACCACAAUGCACCUAGUCAGGAGGACGAGCUGGCACGCCAAGGUUCACCAAUGCGUGAUGAUGAUGACUAUGGGGAGGACUACGAUGGAGAGGCCGAUGGAGAGGCCGAUGACGAGGUUGUUACAACGACACAGGCAACGAACUUCAGGUUUCGGCGGUCACUUAGAGUUCCACCGACACAACCCUUGGACCAACGUAGGGUCAUAAACCCUGCAGGAGAGAGGAGCUGGGUGGAGGUGGCAUGGAGUGGCAAAGGUCACCGGACACCAGUUAACACAGUGCUGGGAUCUAUAGCUCGUUUUCACUAUCCAGGGGUGGUACAAUUCAACGGGGCAGAGACAGGGGCGUAUCACUGGGCUCACUGGGGCCUCAAACCAUAUGGACCCGACCGUACUCACCAAGACGCAGUGUGGUCAUCAUUUUGGGAACAAUUUAGAUUGGACGAAACAGCAAACGAAGAACAUGCAAAACGUGUAUUCCACAAUGCUGCUAGAAAAGUUAUAAAUGGUUCAAUGUCAGAUGCACGGGUCAAAGCUGUUACCGUGUACUUCAAGAAAGUGAAGGGUCA